Molecule: ribosomal RNA, 402 nt
Filed under: uncultured bacterium
Lineage: Bacteria
Description: partial 16S ribosomal RNA
Rfam family: Bacterial small subunit ribosomal RNA
Source: RNAcentral
UGGGGAAUAUUGGACAAUGGGCGAAAGCCUGAUCCAGCCAUGCCGCAUGAGUGAAGAAGGCCUUUGGGUUGUAAAGCUCUUUUAGUGAGGAAGAUAAUGACGGUACUCACAGAAGAAGUCCUGGCUAACUCCGUGCCAGCAGCCGCGGUAAUACGGAGAGGGCUAGCGUUAUUCGGAAUUAUUGGGCGUAAAGGGCGCGUAGGCUGGUUAAUAAGUUAAAAGUGAAAUCCCGAGGCUUAACCUUGGAAUUGAUUUUAAAACUAUUAAUCUAGAGAUUGAAAGAGGAUAGAGGAAUUCCUGAUGUAGAGGUAAAAUUCGUAAAUAUUAGGAGGAACACCGGUGGCGAAGGCGUCUAUCUGGUUCAAAUCUGACGCUGAAGCGCGAAGGCGUGGGGAGCAAACA